Molecule: ribosomal RNA, 268 nt
Filed under: uncultured Spirochaeta sp.
Lineage: Bacteria; Pseudomonadati; Spirochaetota; Spirochaetia; Spirochaetales; Spirochaetaceae
Description: partial 16S ribosomal RNA
Rfam family: Bacterial small subunit ribosomal RNA
Source: RNAcentral
ACCAGCACGUUAUGGUGGGGCACUCUAAGGAGGACUGCCGGUGACAAACCGGAGGAAGGUGGGGACGACGUCAAGUCAUCAUGGCCCUUACGGCCUGGGCUACACACGUGCUACAAUGGCCGGUACAGAGCGCAGCGAUACCGCGAGGUGGAGCAAAUCGCAGAAAGCCGGUCUCAGUACGGAUUGGAGUCUGAAACCCGACUUCAUGAAGGUGGAAUCGCUAGUAAUCGCGCAUCAGCAUGGCGCGGUGAAUACGUUCCCGGGCCUU